RNAcentral lists this small nucleolar RNA (85 nucleotides) under Amborella trichopoda. Lineage: Eukaryota; Viridiplantae; Streptophyta; Magnoliopsida; Amborellales; Amborellaceae. The record is from RNAcentral.
UGCAAUCAAUGAUGAGAUUUAACCCAAAUAGCUGAGGUUAUCUCUGAUUAUUGUUUAUAAUCACCAUCUUUCGGCUGAGAUUGCA